GAUGAAGAACGCAGCGAAAUGCGAUACGUAAUGUGAAUUGCAAAUUCAGUGAAUCAUCGAGUCUUUGAACGCACAUUGCGCCCCCUGGUAUUCCGGGGGGCAUGCCUGUCCGAGCGUCAUUGCUGCCCUCAAGCACGGCUUGUGUGUUGGGCCCCGUCCUCCGAUUCCGGGGGACGGGCCCGAAAGGCAGCGACGGCACCGCGUCCGGUCCUCGAGCGUAUGGGGCUUUGUCACCCGCUCUGUAGGCCCGGCCGGCGCUUGCCGAUCAACCCAAAUUUUUAUCCAGGUUGACCUCGGAUCAGGUAGGGAUACCCGCUGAACUUAAGCAUAUCAAUAAGCGGAGGA
Molecule: unclassified non-coding RNA, 345 nt
Filed under: soil metagenome
Description: partial contains 5.8S ribosomal RNA, internal transcribed spacer 2, and large subunit ribosomal RNA
Rfam family: 5.8S ribosomal RNA (bases 1-119)
Source: RNAcentral